UACGGGGGGUGCGAGCGUUGUUCGGAAUCACUGGGCUUAAAGGGCGCGUAGGCGGGUGCUCAAGUCCGGGGUGAAAUCCCACAGCUCAACUGUGGAACUGCCUCGGAUACUGGGUGUCUCGAGGGUGGCAGGGGUAUGCGGAACUAUCGGUGGAGCGGUGAAAUGCGUUGAUAUCGAUAGGAACUCCGGUGGCGAAGGCGGCAUACUGGUCCACUUCUGACGCUGAGGCGCGAAAGCCAGGGGAGCAAACGGG
This 253-nucleotide ribosomal RNA is filed under the name uncultured bacterium. RNAcentral describes it as "partial 16S ribosomal RNA". It matches the Rfam family "Bacterial small subunit ribosomal RNA", at positions 524 to 776 of the family's 1533-position model. The record is from RNAcentral.